UACGUAGGGGGCAAGCGUUGUCCGGAUUUAUUGGGCGUAAAGAGCGUGUAGGCGGUCCGGUAAGUCCGCUGUGAAAGUCGGGGGCUCAACCCUCGAAUGCCGGUGGAUACUGUCGGGCUAGAGUGCGGAAGAGGCGAGUGGAAUUCCUGGUGUAGCAGUGAAAUGCGCAGAUAUCAGGAGGAACACCUAUUGCGAAGGCAGCUCGCUGGGACGUUACUGACGCUGAGACGCGAAAGCGUGGGGAGCAAACAGG
RNAcentral lists this ribosomal RNA (253 nucleotides) under uncultured bacterium. RNAcentral describes it as "partial 16S ribosomal RNA". It matches the Rfam family "Bacterial small subunit ribosomal RNA", at positions 524 to 776 of the family's 1533-position model. The record is from RNAcentral.